GACGAACGCUGGCGGCGUGCUUAACACAUGCAAGUCGAACGGAAAGGCCCUGCUUUUGUGGGGUGCUCGAGUGGCGAACGGGUGAGUAACACGUGAGUAACGUGCCCUUGACUUUGGGAUAACUUCAGGAAACUGGGGCUAAUACCGGAUAGGAGCUCCUGCUGCAUGGUGGGGGUUGGAAAGGUUCGGCGGUUGGGGAUGGACUCGCGGCUUAUCAGCUUGUUGGUGGGGUAGUGGCUUACCAAGGCUUUGACGGGUAGCCGGCCUGAGAGGGUGGCCGGCCACAUUGGGACUGAGAUACGGCCCAGACUCCUACGGGAGGCAGCAGUGGGGAAUAUUGCACAAUGGGCGGACGCCUGAUGCAGCAACGCCGCGUGCGGGAUGACGGCCUUCGGGUUGUAAACCGCUUUCGCCUGUGACGAAGCGUGAGUGACGGUAAUGGGUAAAGAAGCACCGGCUAACUACGUG
This 468-nucleotide ribosomal RNA is filed under the name uncultured bacterium. RNAcentral describes it as "partial 16S ribosomal RNA". It matches the Rfam family "Bacterial small subunit ribosomal RNA", at positions 28 to 507 of the family's 1533-position model. The record is from RNAcentral.